Molecule: long non-coding RNA, 791 nt
Organism: Macrobrachium nipponense
Lineage: Eukaryota; Metazoa; Arthropoda; Malacostraca; Decapoda; Palaemonidae
Exons: 3
Source: RefSeq, a predicted model, not a curated record
CUACCAAGACAAUUCGCUGAAAGAGUCGUCCAUCGUCUGUCAAUAUUCGCCUCCGUCGAAGCUCAAUUGAACACCGUAGCAUUAAAACUGAUAGUCUAGACACCACAGCAGACCUUUCAGGCGAAUCGUCGUUGCCAUCUCCAGACUCUGCCAUUGGUGGUACUCCUGGCCUCACCCCUGACUUGGAGUUACCUGGCUACCAUACACCCAUAGGAAAGGUAACGGUUGAAGAGAAACAAAUCAGCGAAAAAAAACAGAAAAAAAACACACCAGUGAAUGCUGCACCAGUGGUGAAGGAGCUGUUUUCCAAAGAUAUAAAUCCUCCGCAGAAAGAACCCCAGCAGACGGUGGUAGGAAAUGUCAUGGAAUGUGAAGAGGAUGAAGAUGCUGACACUCCUGAGUCUGAAACUGCCAGUACUUGCAUCCUCAUCCUCAUCUUCACUCUUGGUCAUGGAGAAGGGUGAGAGUGUCCCUACAGAUCACACCCAGAUUGAAGCUCCAACUCUAAGUCUUAUAGAUUAUGAAUCCAACACUAAAAAAUCUGACUCCAGAGGGCAUGCACCCACUGGCAUUAUUGAUAGCAUGGAGGCACAACCUAUGAGACAAACUCAAGUACCUCUUCUCCCAACUCUUGCUGUUAAAAAGGAGUCCCUGUUCACCAUGGGUGAGCCCAAGAGUCUGGGAGAAGCCCCUAAGGGUAUAAGUCAACCAAAGGCGGACAUCGAGAGUCCUGGCAAAAAACAGAGUGUAACUACUCUGACAGAUGUAGAAGAAUUUAUAGCGGAUGUUUU